UUGUUGAUGAAUUGGUCAGUGGUUUAGGUUAGCUUAAAAACCAUCUGAUCUCCUAAUCAAACUUAAAAAAAAAAUUAAAAAGAAAGCCAAAGACAUUCAAUUUCCACAAAGAGAGCUUGCAGAAAAAUAGGAAGUUCCUGCUCUUCAAGAGAGAUCUGCUGCUACUGAUGUUUGAGACAUCCCUACUGGGUUUUGAUGGAAGGGCAAAGAAGCUCAGAAUGACAAAACAGAGAAAAGGUGGCUGCUGGAAGAGCAUGAAGAGAGAUACUGGCAGAGGAGAGCAUGAAACUGUUCAAUUUUAAGGAUCAACGUAGGCAGAACAGACUGGAUGCAGCUGAAAAAUUUGGAUUAUGACUCAUAUCUACAAAUCUUGUCUGGCAUCUUGCAGAGGACAUGAUGCUGAGACUUGGGAGGGAAAGUCUUGUAAUGAAAGAACAACUGUCAUAGAAAAUUUGACCCUCAGUACAAGGCAAACAAACUUUCACUUGCAUUGGAAGGAGGAGAUGUGCCUGUUGGUUCCCAUCAGUGUCAUCUUUCCCAUGGAGACAUUUACCAGUGGAAUUGCAGGAGCUCACUUGCAUUUCCUGCCUGGAGCAAGCAAUGCCAGCAAGUUGCUAACUAGGGAAGGACCUAGGAAGUGGCACUUCAUGCUGACUGCACACAAUCCAGUUUUCUGCCAUCUGAUCUAACAGAGAGAAGGCUGACUGGGGAGGAAGAGAGGUGUGUGAGCAGUAUAUGGGAAAAUGUUCUGUGGAAAACCUGGGAUGUUGGAUAAAUGGUUGUGUUUAUACUCGGUCUUCCCUCUCUCACCUCUGUUUUGGGCUUGGCUUUGUUUUGGGUUUGGUGGUUUCUUUUCUUUCCUUCUGCAGCCUGUGAGUGUAAUCCAGAAGCCCUGAGGAUUUCUGUCAGGAGCACAGGGCUUUUUCCAGAAGACCACAGCAGGGUCUGUGCAUGUAUUUUUCAUACCAUUUAAUAGUUAUGACAUCCCUUGUAGUCUUAUUUUAAACCUCUUUUCAGUUGGGCCAUACAAUAUUUGACCUCAUUUCUGUGGAAUAGAUACAUCACUGAAAAACAGGAGCUAGAAGGAUCCUGCAUGGAAGAGUAGAUGGUUACAAGUGAAGAAAAAAAUUUUUUUUUUAAGAAGACUAAGAAAGACAAUUCAGGAAGAGUUGGACUGAACUUUUAAGGUUCUCAAGCAAAAAUACCCUGUAAAUUCUUUGAAUUUUUUAAUGAAGAAAGUCUUUUGACACUAAAGACUGGAAGUCAGUUUCUAGCAGCUUUUUCUGCACUGCCUAAGUGUAUGUGGCAUGAAUAAAACCCACAGUGUGAGGUGCUAUAUAAACA
Molecule: long non-coding RNA, 1344 nt
Filed under: Zonotrichia albicollis (white-throated sparrow)
Lineage: Eukaryota; Metazoa; Chordata; Aves; Passeriformes; Passerellidae
Description: lncRNA (ENSZALG00000012374.1)
Source: RNAcentral